Molecule: long non-coding RNA, 254 nt
Filed under: Fukomys damarensis (Damara mole-rat)
Lineage: Eukaryota; Metazoa; Chordata; Mammalia; Rodentia; Bathyergidae
Description: lncRNA (ENSFDAG00000022300.1)
Source: RNAcentral
CUUUUAAUGAUGUAAAAUUAUAAAUCAUAUUGCAAAUGACAAGGUCCCAAUCUAAUAGAAUUUAUCUUUAUUGCUGGCCUUAGGAGAAUGAUGGUCACAUCCAGAAGAUAGAACAGAAGUAAUCAACUGCAAUAAGGGCACAUCAGACCUUCGCAGUUGCUUCCAGGCUAAAUCAGUUAAGGAAACAUCUGCAUAAUGAGGGAGGCUCAUUUCACUUCACCACUGACCCUCAGAAAAGAUCCUGUGAACACAAG